GCUUCCUGGAUGAAAGGCAUAUAAAACUUAGUCACAGCAUCAAGAGUAACAUCAAACCUUUUUAAAUAGACAUUGCAAGAGCCACAUGAAGAUAAAGAUGAAUUUUUGUUCCUUCAUAACAGUUCCCACUUUCUAAGUGUCUUGUAGUACUUUGCAGACUUCAUUGAAAUGAUUAGAGCUGGUGCACAAGCAGAAUCUAAAUUUUGACUCUCCCUACCUAAAAUUGGAGAAAAGCUCAGGUUUCAGUAGCAAGUAUCUGAUGUCCUUUAUGCUAACGUUCCCAACAAUCUUCUUCUUUGGUGCGUCUACAACUGGAAGACCACCAAUUUGGUUAUCUCUCAUUCGCUUGAAAGCCUCCAGAAUCAACUCAUCGCCCUGGAUGCUAAUUACCUGGCCAAGAAGACAGAAGUACAUUUUGAAUAUCUGAAUUUCAGUAAUCAGCUUGCAGAAUACUCAUGUAACAACACACACCUUACCUCAGCAGGGGACAUGAAAGGAAGCCCUAAUUCAGAAAUAGGCUGCAUAGCAAUGAGGUCAAACCAGUCCCUUCCAUUACAUCUAUCAAGACCCUGAACAACGGCAGAUUGAGUAAUGUAGUUCUUAAUGUCAGGCUUGCCUUCUUCAAUUACAGGUACAUUCCUUAGCCUAUAUUUUGAAAGUAGCAGUAAGACACUCAACAUAGAACACUCUAUUGAAACUGGGAGGAAAGGAG
Molecule: long non-coding RNA, 712 nt
Organism: Quercus robur (English oak)
Lineage: Eukaryota; Viridiplantae; Streptophyta; Magnoliopsida; Fagales; Fagaceae
Exons: 2
Source: RefSeq, a predicted model, not a curated record